UUGAAAGACCGGUUCCCGUACGAUCAUCGAAGUUAAGCAACGUUGAGCCUGAUCAGUACCUAGAUGGGUGACCGCUUGGGAAUGCCAGGUACAGUA
This 96-nucleotide ribosomal RNA is filed under the name Acanthosepion pharaonis. The record is from RNAcentral. Lineage: Eukaryota; Metazoa; Mollusca; Cephalopoda; Sepiida; Sepiidae.